GGAGAUCCAGCAAAGGGCGCACCGAAUUAAACGCGUCGCUGAGAAGUAUGCCCAGGCACACCCAGCCAGCCCUGGACUCCAUCCUUCUCCUCCAGAUGCCCAAAUUAGGAGAUGGAACCUUGUCACUCUGGAGAUGAAGAAAGAGAGUACAGAGAGGGCAAAGAACUAGCCUAGGGGUGCACAGCUCCCAACAGUAGCAGUGCAGGAACCUGGGCGCGGACACCAGGGUGAGGGUGGCUCGCCCUGCCUCUAGAAAGCUCACAGCAUCCAGCCUGAUUGACUGCAGAUGGCAGAGGUGACGGGCGGCGGCGGCGGCGAGCUGGUCCACCUACUGUGCCCUGACACAUAGCCCAACCCCACAAGCUCGUAGUUCUCUGCAGAUGGACGCUGACCUCACUUGAAGAGACUCCCCGUGGAGACAGGAAUCCUGGCAGGUUAGAGACCAGAGUGGACUUGAGAUGAAGGUGGCUGCUCUUCCCACUAUAGCUGUGCCAGGGACUGGCAGCCUCUCAUUCCCUCACUUCUGCCCUUUCCCCCAGAAAAGUCCUGUUUCUUCUCUUCUCCCUGUGGAUGGGUAACUGGCCCACUGGUGAACGAGGGACAGUGGGGGAUGGUAGUGGUAAAGACGAUGAUGGUGGUGGUGAUGAUGAUGAAGAUGAUGAAGGUGAUAAUGAAGAAGAUGAUAAUGACGACGGCACAAUACUUGAGGGAGUGAGCCAGAAUCUGUAAUUCACCAGGCAUCCACUGCUAGAAGAUACUUAAGGAAACGAUCUCGGGAACGCUGGAGAGGCAAUGGCCACAAGGUGGCAGCAGGUCCCCAUUCUAGAGGCACAGAAGACCGUGUUCUUGAUGACUAAGCCUCCUGCAGCUGUCCGACUUCUUGCUCCUUAGGCCUCCGGUUGGGAUUUAGGGAUUCCAUUUGUGUCAGAUCAGGUCACGCCGGGCCCCGGGGUGAGCCCUGCUCUCUGGUCACAGGAACGACGGAGAACCCAAGUGAGGGACCCAGUAACCUGCCUGCGGUCACAGGGCACCUUGGGCUGUAGAGGCAGGUCCUCUAGGCCCUUCCUGUCACUUUGGCUUCCUUGAGGCUUUUGUUAUGAGAGUAGAUGGUCUGUUUCCUUUGGCUUUAAAAAUAAAUAGUUUACCAAA
Grammomys surdaster is the source of this 1149-nucleotide long non-coding RNA. RefSeq lists it as uncharacterized. The record is from RefSeq and is a predicted model, not a curated record. Lineage: Eukaryota; Metazoa; Chordata; Mammalia; Rodentia; Muridae. The transcript has 3 exons.